RNAcentral lists this ribosomal RNA (708 nucleotides) under Mortierella sp. FSU 10537. Its description in RNAcentral is "eukaryotic LSU rRNA". It matches the Rfam family "Eukaryotic large subunit ribosomal RNA", at positions 92 to 656 of the family's 3401-position model. Lineage: Eukaryota; Fungi; Mortierellomycota; Mortierellomycetes; Mortierellales; Mortierellaceae. The record is from RNAcentral.
AGUGAAGCGGGAUGAGCUCAAAUUUAAAAUCUGGCUGGUUUACUAGUCCGAAUUGUAGUUUAUAGAAGCGUUUUCGGUGGCAGCCUGGGUAUAAAUCCUUUGGAAUAGGGUAUCAUAGAGGGUGAGAAUCCCGUCUUUGACUCAGUGCAUGCUACUAUGUGAUACGUUUUCAAAGAGUCGAGUUGUUUGGGAAUGCAGCUCAAAAUGGGUGGUAAAUUUCAUCUAAAGCUAAAUAUUGGCGAGAGACCGAUAGCGAACAAGUACCGUGAGGGAAAGAUGAAAAGAACUUUGAAAAGAGAGUUAAACAGUGCGUGAAAUUGUUGAAAGGGAAACGUUUGACACCAGUUAUGCGGGUGGAAAAUCAGUCUUUUGCAAUGGGGAGUUGUGGGCGUUCAGACCGCAAGGCUGGCGUUUGCUUCAUCUUUGUUGUAAGUGAUGCACUUUUUCAUUUGCAGGUCAACAUCAGUUUGCUUUGCUGGACAAAACCCCAAGGGAAGGUGGCAGCUUAGGCUGUGUUAUAGCCCUGGGGCGAUACAGUGGAGUGGACUGAGGUUUCGCAGUGUGUGCUCUCGGGCAAGGCUGACUGGGUGCUAUGGGAUCGUUCGGCGUACAAUGCAUGCAUUUUGCGUCGUGUCUUUUUCAUACUCGCUCAACUCGGCUCUUCCACACUUAGGAUGUUGACUUAAUGGUUUUAAACGACCCGUCUUG